Molecule: small RNA, 28 nt
Filed under: Bombyx mori (domestic silkworm)
Lineage: Eukaryota; Metazoa; Arthropoda; Insecta; Lepidoptera; Bombycidae
Description: ovarian small RNA-30516
Source: RNAcentral
UGAAAUAAAACACCAUGCAAUUCAAUCC